RNAcentral lists this ribosomal RNA (339 nucleotides) under uncultured bacterium. RNAcentral's name for it is "bacterial SSU rRNA". It matches the Rfam family "Bacterial small subunit ribosomal RNA", at positions 22 to 356 of the family's 1533-position model. The record is from RNAcentral.
GCUCAGAUUGAACGCUGGCGGCAGGCCUAACACAUGCAAGUCGAACGGUAACAGAAAGAAGCUUGCUUCUUUGCUGACGAGUGGCGGACGGGUGAGUAAUGUCUGGGAAACUGCCUGAUGGAGGGGGAUAACUACUGGAAACGGUAGCUAAUACCGCAUAACGUCGCAAGACCAAAGAGGGGGACCUUCGGGCCUCUUGCCAUCGGAUGUGCCCAGAUGGGAUUAGCUUGUUGGUGGGGUAACGGCUCACCAAGGCGACGAUCCCCAGCUGGUCUGAGAGGAUGACCAGCCACACUGGAACUGAGACACGGUCCAGACUCCUUACGGGAGGCAGCAGUA